RNAcentral lists this long non-coding RNA (377 nucleotides) under Salmo salar (Atlantic salmon). RNAcentral's name for it is "lncRNA (ENSSSAG00000119149.1)". Lineage: Eukaryota; Metazoa; Chordata; Actinopteri; Salmoniformes; Salmonidae. The record is from RNAcentral.
CUGCCACGUCUGUUUGCACUGUGACAACAACAAAGCAAAGACCUCCAGCAAAGACCUCCAGCAAAGACCUCCAGCAAUGACCUCCCUCGGACAUAAUUACAUUGAACUAAAACACAAAGACACCUUUACCAAGGUCGAGAUCCCGUCAGAAUAUCAAUGUGAGCACAGCGGCGGUGAUGGGGGUGGCUGUGAGAGGACAGAGAGGAGUGGCGCCCACCAAGGAGUCUCAUUAUGACACAGAGGGACAUCCGCCUAACACUAACGCUACGGGGUCUGCCACGGCCAGGAGCAGGGGUCCACUACGUAGGGAACCUGGAGAACACAAACCCAUAACCACCACCGGGAUGGACCGAGACACGGGGAUAGAGAGAGGGAGG